Molecule: ribosomal RNA, 404 nt
Filed under: Actinomycetes bacterium
Lineage: Bacteria; Bacillati; Actinomycetota; Actinomycetes
Description: Actinobacteria bacterium partial 16S ribosomal RNA
Rfam family: Bacterial small subunit ribosomal RNA
Source: RNAcentral
UGGGGAAUAUUGGACAAUGGGCGCAAGCCUGAUCCAGCCAUGCCGCGUGAGUGAUGAAGGCCCUAGGGUUGUAAAGCUCUUUCACCGGUGAAGAUAAUGACGGUAACCGGAGAAGAAGCCCCGGCUAACUUCGUGCCAGCAGCCGCGGUAAUACGAAGGGGGCUAGCGUUGUUCGGAUUUACUGGGCGUAAAGCGCACGUAGGCGGACUAUUAAGUCAGGGGUGAAAUCCCGGGGCUCAACCCCGGAACUGCCUUUGAUACUGGUAGUCUUGAGUUCGAGAGAGGUGAGUGGAAUUCCGAGUAUAGAGGUGAAAUUCGUAGAUAUUCGGAGGAACACCAGUGGCGAAGGCGGCUCACUGGCUCGAUACUGACGCUGAGGUGCGAAAGCGUGGGGAGCAAACAGG